This 249-nucleotide ribosomal RNA is filed under the name uncultured bacterium. RNAcentral's name for it is "partial small subunit ribosomal RNA". It matches the Rfam family "Bacterial small subunit ribosomal RNA", at positions 26 to 285 of the family's 1533-position model. The record is from RNAcentral.
AGGACUAACGCUGGCGGCGUGCCUAACACAUGCAAGUCGAACGGGGUAGCAAUACCCAGUGGCAGACGGGUGAGUAACACGUGGUCAACCUACCUCUAUGUGGGGGAUAACUAGCCGAAAGGUUAGCUAAUACCGCAUACGUCUCCGAGGGGCAUCCCUUGGUGAUAAAAGGAGCAAUCCGCUCGAUGACGGGACCGCGUCCCAUUAGUUAGUUGGCGGGGUAAUGGCCCACCAAGACUAUGAUCGGUA